RNAcentral lists this ribosomal RNA (484 nucleotides) under uncultured bacterium. Its description in RNAcentral is "partial 16S ribosomal RNA". It matches the Rfam family "Bacterial small subunit ribosomal RNA", at positions 30 to 507 of the family's 1533-position model. The record is from RNAcentral.
AUUGAACGCUGGCGGCAUGCCUAACACAUGCAAGUCGAGCGGAUGAAGGGAGCUGGCUCCUUGAUUCAGCGGCGGACGGUUGAGUAAUGCCUAGGAAUCUUCCUGGGAGUGGGGGAUAACGUCCGGAAACGGGCGCUAAUACCACAUACGUCCUGAUGGAGAAAGUGGCGGAACUUCGGACCUGAGGCUAUCAGAUGAGCCUAGGUCGGAUUAGCUAGUCGGUGGGGUAAUGGCCUACCAAGGCGACGAUGCGUAACUGGUCUGAGAGGAUGAUCAGGCAAACUGGAACUGGGACACGGUCCGGACUCCUACGGGAGGCAGAAGUGGCGAAUAUUGGACGAUGGGAGAAAGCCUGAUCAAGCCAUGCCGCGUGAAUGAAGAAGGUCUUCGGAUUGUAAAGCUCAAUAAGUUGGGAGGAAGGGAAGUAAGUAAAAGCCGGGCUGUUUUGACGGUUCCAACAGAAUGAGGCCCGGCUAACUUAGUG